CCUACGGGAGGCAGCAGUGAGGAAUAUUGGUCAAUGGGCGGGAGCCUGAACCAGCCAAGUCGCGUGAGGGAAGACGGUCCUAUGGAUUGUAAACCUCUUUAGGCGGGGAGCAAUGCCGGGCACGUGUGCCCGGAGGGAGAGUACCCGCAGAAUAAGCAUCGGCUAACUCCGUGCCAGCCGCCGCGGUAAUACGGAGGAUGCGAGCUUUAUCCGGAUUUAUUGGGGUUAAAGGGUGCGUAGGCGGAUUUUUAAGUCAGCGGUAAAAUGUCCGGGCUCAACCCGGGCCGGCCGUUGAAACUGGGGAUCUUGAGUGGGCGAGAAGUAUGCGGAAUGCGUGGUGUAGCGGUGAAAUGCAUAGAUAUCACGCAGAACUCCGAUUGCGAAGGCAGCAUACCGGCGCCCGACUGACGCUGAGGCACGAAAGCGUGGGGAUCGAACAGGAUUAGAUACCCUGGUAGUC
This 460-nucleotide ribosomal RNA is filed under the name uncultured bacterium. RNAcentral's name for it is "partial 16S ribosomal RNA". It matches the Rfam family "Bacterial small subunit ribosomal RNA", at positions 338 to 795 of the family's 1533-position model. The record is from RNAcentral.